GCAAAGGCUCUUUUCAGAGCCACCCAUGCUAUCUUUUAGAAUGGUU
Non-coding RNA from Mesocricetus auratus (golden hamster), 46 nucleotides. NCBI's taxonomy places the organism in Eukaryota, Metazoa, Chordata, Mammalia, Rodentia, Cricetidae. The record is from Rfam.